UGAGAGAGGAGAUGAGGAACAGGCUGGAGAGAAACAGAAUGGAUGACCCUUGUAGUGUGGUGGUGGGCCACCUUGAGGGGCCAGGGAAUGAUCUCCUCCUGGCCAGUGUCAGAUUCGUCAGUGGGUAAGGGUGCCACUGACUGGGGUAUUGGCAGUAUACAGCCCAGUGCUAAGAGCAAUUCUGAGUGCCGGGAUGUGCUCGAUACUGGGGUAC
Long non-coding RNA from Dermochelys coriacea (leatherback sea turtle), 214 nucleotides. RefSeq lists it as uncharacterized. The record is from RefSeq and is a predicted model, not a curated record. NCBI's taxonomy places the organism in Eukaryota, Metazoa, Chordata, Testudines, Dermochelyidae. The transcript has 3 exons.